Molecule: ribosomal RNA, 400 nt
Filed under: uncultured bacterium
Lineage: Bacteria
Description: partial 16S ribosomal RNA
Rfam family: Bacterial small subunit ribosomal RNA
Source: RNAcentral
AAUCUUCCGCAAUGGACGCAAGUCUGACGGAGCAACGCCGCGUGAGUGACGAAGGUUUUCGGAUCGUAAAGCUCUGUCAUUGGGGACGAAAAGAUGACGGUACCCAAGGAGGAAGCCCCGGCUAACUACGUGCCAGCAGCCGCGGUAACACGUAGGGGGCGAGCGUUGUCCGGAUUUAUUGGGCGUAAAGAGCUCGUAGGCUGUUGAGUAAGUCAGCUGUUAAAGCUCCAGGCUCAACCUGGAGAGGCCAGUUGAUACUGCUCUGACUAGAGUCCGGUAGGGGAGUGCGGAAUUCCUGGUGUAGCGGUGGAAUGCGCAGAUAUCAGGAGGAACACCGAUGGCGAAGGCAGCACUCUGGGCCGGUACUGACGCUGAGGAGCGAAAGCGUGGGUAGCAAACA